CCAUCAUCAUCAUCUUCAUUCAACAUGCUCUCCCUGCAGAACUCAGCUUUUUCUCUGAUAUGUUUUGCAAUCUUAUCAGGCGUCAGCUGUGAAGAUCUGACUCCAGUCAAAACAGAAGAGUUCAGUCCAGAAGGCAGCACUGUUACUCUGUCCUACAGAUACUCCAAACAAGCAGCGGGUGAUGAUUAUUUCUUCUGGUAUCGACAAUAUCCAGGAGAACCACCAGAGUUGCUCCUGUCUAUCUCAGGGGUUAAUUUCACAAAAAAAGCAGAAUCACUUAAAUCGGACACCAGGUUCUUCACUGACCUGUCUGAAGGAAAGAAACGAGUGGAUCUGCAGAUCUCCUCUGCUGCAGUGACAGACUCUGCUGUGUACUACUGUGCUGUGGAGCCCACAGUGACAGGAAACAGUUCAAAUAAUUAA
Non-coding RNA from Trematomus bernacchii (emerald rockcod), 423 nucleotides. NCBI's taxonomy places the organism in Eukaryota, Metazoa, Chordata, Actinopteri, Perciformes, Nototheniidae. The record is from the annotation of a RefSeq genome assembly.